UACGUAGGGGGCGAGCGUUGUCCGAAGUUACUGGGCGUAAAGCGUGCGCAGGCGGUGAUGUAAGACCGAUGGGAAAUCCCCGGGCUUAACCUGGGAACUGCAUUGGUGACUGCAUUGCUGGAGUAUGGCAGAGGGGGGUGGAAUUCCACGUGUAGCAGUGAAAUGCGUAGAGAUGUGGAGGAACACCGAUGGCGAAGGCAGCCCCCUGGGCCAAUACUGACGCUCAUGCACGAAAGCGUGGGGAGCAAACAGG
Molecule: ribosomal RNA, 253 nt
Filed under: uncultured bacterium
Lineage: Bacteria
Description: partial 16S ribosomal RNA
Rfam family: Bacterial small subunit ribosomal RNA
Source: RNAcentral